AUACUUACCUGGACGGGGUCAAUGGCUGAUCAAGAAGGGUCAUGGCCUAGGCGUGCGACUUCCAUUGCACUCGGGAGGAGCACUCACCUAACAUCUCCUCAGGUGGGAGAGUGUACAUCAUAAUUUGUGUUAGUGGGGGCCUGCAUUCACGCGGCCCCUAC
Malania oleifera is the source of this 161-nucleotide small nuclear RNA. RefSeq annotates it as U1 spliceosomal RNA. Lineage: Eukaryota; Viridiplantae; Streptophyta; Magnoliopsida; Santalales; Ximeniaceae. The record is from RefSeq and is a predicted model, not a curated record. The transcript has a single exon.